GCGAGCCUGGCGAAAUUGGUAGACGCGCUGGAUUUAGGUUCCAGUACCCGCCGGGUGUGUCGGUUCGAGUCCGACGGCUCGCA
Molecule: transfer RNA, 83 nt
Filed under: Nannocystis exedens
Lineage: Bacteria; Pseudomonadati; Myxococcota; Nannocystales; Nannocystaceae
Also listed under: 11 other names
Rfam family: tRNA
About the family: Transfer RNA (tRNA) molecules are approximately 80 nucleotides in length. Their secondary structure includes four short double-helical elements and three loops (D, anti-codon, and T loops).
Source: Rfam by way of RNAcentral